RNAcentral lists this ribosomal RNA (460 nucleotides) under uncultured bacterium. Its description in RNAcentral is "partial 16S ribosomal RNA". It matches the Rfam family "Bacterial small subunit ribosomal RNA", at positions 338 to 795 of the family's 1533-position model. The record is from RNAcentral.
CCUACGGUGUGCAGCAGUGAGGAAUAUUGGUCAAUGGACGAGAGUCUGAACCAGCCAAGUAGCGUGAAGGAUGAAUGCCCUAUGGGUUGUAAACUUCUUUUAUAUGGGAAUAAAAUGUUCCACGUGUGGGAUUUUGUAUGUACCAUAUGAAUAAGGAUCGGCUAACUCCGUGCCAGCAGCCGCGGUAAUACGGAGGAUCCGAGCGUUAUCCGGAUUUAUUGGGUUUAAAGGGGGCGUAGGUGGAUCUUUAAGUCAGUUGUGAAAGUUUGCGGCUCAACCGUAAAAUUGCAGUUGAAACUGGCAGUCUUGAGUGCGGUAGAGGUGGGCGGAAUGCGUGGUGUAGCGGUGAAAUGCUUAGAUAUCGCGAAGAACUCCGAUUGCGAAGGCAGUUCACUGGACUGCAACUGACACUGAGGCUCGAAAGUGUGGGUAUCGAACAGGAUUAGAUACCCUAGUAGUC